CAAUCAACGUCAGUAUUGUUGCGGGGUUGAUCAAGCGCUCUGUUACGCACAGACAAGUUCAACUUGUGAAGCGUUCAUGCCGGAGCUUUAAAUUUUGAAACAUACGUUCAUAGGUGAAGAUGUUCCGCAGAGCGAUGUGGAAGACACUUGGAUUCGUGGGCUACACCGUACAGUAUGGCUGCAUUGCACACUGCGCUUUUGAGUAUAUCGGCGAAUUUGUGGUGUGCUCUGGUCCAUCAAUGGAACCCACCAUUGUUAAUCAUGACAUUGUCUUUUCGGAGCGGAUGAGUCGUCAUCUCUGCAGAAUACAAAAGGGCGACGUAGUCGUUGCAAAAAGUCCGUUUGACCCAAAUAUGAACAUCUGUAAAAGAGUGAUCGGUCUGGAAGGAGAUAAAAUCUGCACAAGUAUGACCUCAGACCUGUUCAAGACCCACACGUAUGCCUGUGGACGGGGAGCAGGAUGCUGCGGGAGGAGAAUGGACUCGAAACAUUCAGCUCAUGUUGCAGCAUUGAAACCGAGCCUGAAUCUGAGAUCCCUGAACAGAUCCUGUAGACCAGGACUCUCCAGGAUCCCACCGUUGACCCUCCAGCUGAUCUCUGAGUGUGUUUGUGGCCAUCAUAACAAUCACUGGAGUUUCCAACCGUCAGAUGAUGAGAACAUCACCAGAAGUGCAGCUUCUCAGCGUCUUCAACUGACUCUGAUAUCGACUCCCAGGAGCAACUGUAUCACAGGAGGCAGGGGUCAGAGGUCACUGGCCACUUUAGGCCCGACUCCGACGGGCUCCCAGCUGGACAGUGGACCCCCAGCUCCACCUGCACUCCUCUGCCUCUCUGUUUCCCUCUGCAGUAGAUGCUCGGGCGGUUGGGAGUCGAGGUGGUGAGAGGGAGCGGCUCUCCUGCUGCCGCUCCCCUCCGAGGCUGCCCGCCGGAGCGAGGUGACCCAGCUUGUCGUCCGCUGACCUGUGAGAGAGACAUUAUGAAGUGGAUUCUUCCAGCUGGCACAGUGGGAAGUGAGCGGUCAGAGGCAGGAGGUUGGACCAGCUGUACUGGUGCAGAGAGGGGAAACCCAGACCAGCAGCAGCAGCAGCAUCAGCAGCAGCAGCAGCAUCAGCUCAGCUACUUCUGUUACACUGGUCACUUCAGUCUCUGUUCUCAGCACCAUCCAGCGACCAUUGAUAAACAGGAGGUAAAUGAAGCUUUUAAGCAGGGCGGACGGAAGAGGGGAGACUGUGGGGAGGGGGACACUGAGAAGAUUAAUUGACUUUCUGCAGAGCUUCACUCAUCCUCCUUGGACACCUCUGGCUUGUGAGUGGAUUUGUGUUUGGAUGACGCGAUUAUGUUGCCAUUACUGGGGCAAUUCAGAGUCGGUUCGGACCAGUGUUCAUUCUGCCACCCGGUGAUUUGGUCUUUGUUUUUUGACUUAGUCGUAAUCAUGAUAAAGUCAAUGGAAAUGCUAAAACUUUAGUAAUAAAUUUAAAAGAAAGAAAUUAAAAAACUUCCUCUUGUUGUUGUUUGCAAAUGCCAAAUCGGUGACACUUUAAAGUAUACAUCCAUGGCAGCCUUGACCUUCCUCCCCCAUCACGCCAACGUAAAUCCACCACCUGCAGCUGCAGCGCUCUUCCACUGUGACAGUGAUAAUCUCUGUGUCAGGAGCCGUCUGUCAGAGAUUGGUCUGUCUGAUUCACUGAGCGUCCGAGUGGCAGGUCUGUGACGGCAGUGCCACAGGGUGUCCGAGGAUUUUAUCUGCACUAAAAGAUAGAGACUUGUAUUUUUGGUCCUGGUUCGCUUUUUUGAAGAUAUGGAUAAAAGCCAACAUUUAUUUAUUUAUUUAUCUAUUUAGAUAUUUGUUGUUAUAGCUAUUUUAUCUAUCUAUCUAUCUAUCUAUCUAUCU
This is an RNA transcript of Cynoglossus semilaevis (tongue sole), 1891 nucleotides long. It is a transcript of the gene named inner mitochondrial membrane peptidase subunit 1, with no coding region annotated. The record is from RefSeq and is a predicted model, not a curated record. The transcript is spliced from 9 exons. Lineage: Eukaryota; Metazoa; Chordata; Actinopteri; Pleuronectiformes; Cynoglossidae.